This 441-nucleotide ribosomal RNA is filed under the name uncultured bacterium. Its description in RNAcentral is "partial 16S ribosomal RNA". It matches the Rfam family "Bacterial small subunit ribosomal RNA", at positions 338 to 795 of the family's 1533-position model. The record is from RNAcentral.
CCUACGAGAGGCUGCAGUGGGGAAUAUUGCACAAUGGGGGAAACCCUGAUGCAGCAACGCCGCGUGAAGGACGACGGUUUUCGGAUUGUAAACUUCUUUUCUUAGUGAAGAAUAAUGACGGUAGCUAAGGAGCAAGCCCCGGCUAACUACGUGCCAGCAGCCGCGGUAAUACGUGGGUGGCAAGCGUUGUCCGGAAUUACUGGGUGUAAAGGGAGCGCAGGCGGGAAGACAAGUCAGAUGUGAAAACUACGGGCUUAACUUGUAGACUGCAGCUAAAAAUGGUUUUCUUGAGUGAAGUAGAGGUUGGCGGAAUUCCUAGUGUAGCGGUGAAAUGCGUAGAUAUUCGGAGGAACACCGGUGGCGAAGGCGGCCACCUGGGCUUUAACUGACGCUGAGGCUCGAAAGUGUGGGGAGCAAACAGGAUUAGAUACCCCUGUAGUC